RNAcentral lists this transfer RNA (66 nucleotides) under Camelus bactrianus (Bactrian camel). It matches the Rfam family "tRNA". From Rfam's summary of the family: Transfer RNA (tRNA) molecules are approximately 80 nucleotides in length. Their secondary structure includes four short double-helical elements and three loops (D, anti-codon, and T loops). Lineage: Eukaryota; Metazoa; Chordata; Mammalia; Artiodactyla; Camelidae. RNAcentral also lists the same sequence under 2 other names. The record is from Rfam by way of RNAcentral.
GGUAUAGCUCAAGCGGUUGAGUGUGUGCUUAGCAUGCACAAGGUCCUGGGUUCAAUCCCCAGUACC